Molecule: transfer RNA, 72 nt
Filed under: Candidatus Woesebacteria bacterium
Lineage: Bacteria; Candidatus Woeseibacteriota
Description: tRNA-Asn
Rfam family: tRNA
About the family: Transfer RNA (tRNA) molecules are approximately 80 nucleotides in length. Their secondary structure includes four short double-helical elements and three loops (D, anti-codon, and T loops). Further hydrogen bonds mediate the characteristic L-shaped molecular structure. tRNAs have two regions of fundamental functional importance: the anti-codon, which is responsible for specific mRNA codon recognition, and the 3' end, to which the tRNAs corresponding amino acid is attached (by aminoacyl-tRNA synthetases). tRNAs cope with the degeneracy of the genetic code in two manners: having more than one tRNA (with a specific anti-codon) for a particular amino acid; and 'wobble' base-pairing, i.e. permitting non-standard base-pairing at the 3rd anti-codon position.
Source: RNAcentral
UCCCUGGUAGCUCAAUGGUAGAGCAGGAUGCUGUUAACAUCAAGGUUAGAGGUUCGAAUCCUCUCCGGGGAG